Molecule: ribosomal RNA, 479 nt
Filed under: uncultured bacterium
Lineage: Bacteria
Description: bacterial SSU rRNA
Rfam family: Bacterial small subunit ribosomal RNA
Source: RNAcentral
GGUCAGGACGAACGCUGGCGGCGUGCCUAACACAUGCAAGUCGAGCGAGGAGAUCCUUCGGGAUGAUCCUAGCGGCGGACGGGUGAGUAACACGUGGGCAACCUGCCUCAUAGAGAGGAAUAGCCUUCCGAAAGGGAGAUUAAUACCUCAUAACAUUGCAGUUUCGCAUGGAACAGCAAUUAAAGGAGUAAUCCGCUAUGAGAUGGGCCCGCGGCGCAUUAGCUAGUUGGUGAGGUAAUGGCUCACCAAGGCGACGAUGCGUAGCCGACCUGAGAGGGUGAUCGGCCACAUUGGGACUGAGACACGGCCCAGACUCCUACGGGAGGCAGCAGUGGGGAAUAUUGCACAAUGGGGGAAACCCUGAUGCCAGCAACGCCGCGUGAGUGAUGACGGCCUUCGGGUUGUAAAGCUCUGUCUUCAGGGACGAUAAUGACGGUACCUGAGGAGGAAGCCACGGCUAACUACGUGCCAGCCGCCGC